Molecule: non-coding RNA, 171 nt
Filed under: Pollutimonas bauzanensis
Lineage: Bacteria; Pseudomonadati; Pseudomonadota; Betaproteobacteria; Burkholderiales; Alcaligenaceae
Source: RNAcentral
GUAGAACAACGCGGCCAUUGCCUUAUGCCGCGGCACGCUCUGCGAAAGUUAAACGGGAAACAGAUGCGCACUUGCCCCAGGCAAGAACCAUGCGCCCAAACUGUGCUGCCCCCGCAACGGUAAGCAUGUCAUCCAUGCCAGCCCGACACCGGCCUUGAUCACCCUUAGUCC